GACGAACGCUGGCGGCGUGCCUAAUACAUGCAAGUAGAACGCUGAAGAGAGGAGCUUACUCUCCUUGGAUGAGUUGCGAACGGGUGAGUAACGCGUAGGUAACCUGCCUUGUAGCGGGGGAUAACUAUUGGAAACGAUAGCUAAUACCGCAUAACAAUGGAUGACACAUGUCAUUUAUUUGAAAGGGGCAAUUGCUCCACUACAAGAUGGACCUGCGUUGUAUUAGCUAGUAGGUGAGGUAAUGGCUCACCUAGGCGACGAUACAUAGCCGACCUGAGAGGGUGAUCGGCCACACUUGGACUGAGACACGGCCCAGACUCCUACGGGAGGCAGCAGUAGGGAAUCUUCGGCAAUGGGGGCAACCCUGACCGGGCAACGCCGCGGGAGUGAAGAAGGUUUUCGGAUCGUAAAGCUCUGUUGUAAGUCAAGAACGAGUGUGAGAGUGGAAAGUUCACACUGUGACGGUAGCUUACCAGAAAGGGACGGCUAACUACGUG
This 497-nucleotide ribosomal RNA is filed under the name uncultured bacterium. RNAcentral describes it as "partial 16S ribosomal RNA". It matches the Rfam family "Bacterial small subunit ribosomal RNA", at positions 28 to 507 of the family's 1533-position model. The record is from RNAcentral.